UGGCUCCAGAGCCCUUCAAACGAUGCCAUGGGAAUGGAUGGGGGUCACUAGCCUCCCUAUUGUGACUCGUUUGAGCUCUUAGCCCGGCGUGUAGUCUGGCGGGAGCCGUCCCUGGAUGGGGGUCACUAGCCUCCCCAUUGUGACUCGUUUGAGCUCUUAGCCAGGCGUGUAGUCUGGCGGGAGCCGUCGCGGCUGGCUCGGCAGCUCCAGGCUAUUCCGAGGAACAGUCUUCAGAGAGCCUGGGGUGCUGAUGGGGAAAAGCUGUUGCUGAGAUUUGACAAGUUUGGUCCUGAGAUGUCAGAAAGGAUUUCAGCUCUUCUGCCACCCCAAGGACGGUGGCGCGUAAAUCACAAGGACAAUGAAUCCAGGCAGUGAUCCACCAAUGAUAACUAACAUCAUAAAAAGAUACAUGGCCGGAUAUGAUGUUCCUUCUGACGGAAGACCACAACACCUGCUGAAAAAUCAAAUCUGAAUCGGAUCAAGCCUCUAGAGGAGGCAGCACCCAGGGUCAUUCCUGGAGCAUAAACGAUCCCUGCAGAACAUGGGCUAGAAGACCCCACAGUGGGGCAGAGGCAGGUCCUGGACUGGGAUCCCAGCAGUGAGAAGACCUGGACAUCAACCCUAUUUCAUUGUGCCUCUGCAAAUCUCCCAACUUUUGGAGCUGUAGCUGCAAGCUCAGACUUGUGGUUUCCUGUACCUGGAGGAGGCCCAGGUCAUUCUGUUAAGUCCCUUGUCUAUUUCCUGCUUUUAUCUGGAUGCUGAGUUAAUUAUUUGAUCCAACAAUAAAACUAACAAGGUUUUAUUUGUUUUUAAUGUCUUCUCUUUGCUGAACGCUGUGCUGGGUGCUGUAGCUGACA
This 857-nucleotide long non-coding RNA is filed under the name Homo sapiens (human). RNAcentral describes it as "non-protein coding LINC00642:1". The record is from RNAcentral. Lineage: Eukaryota; Metazoa; Chordata; Mammalia; Primates; Hominidae.